UCUGGUGCUGAUGCGCUUGGGGGAAACACCCGUUCCCAUCCCGAACACGAUGGUUAAGACUCAAGCGGCCGAUGGUACUAUGCUGGUGACGGCAUGGGAGAGCAGGUGAGUGCCAGAU
This 118-nucleotide ribosomal RNA is filed under the name Enterocloster lavalensis. The record is from RNAcentral. RNAcentral also lists the same sequence under 1 other name. Lineage: Bacteria; Bacillati; Bacillota; Clostridia; Lachnospirales; Lachnospiraceae.